UCCGGUUUGGCACCGGCAGUCCUCCCAGAGUCCUCGGCUUGACCCGGUAGCAACUGGGAGCGGGGGUUGCGCUCGUUGCGGGACUUAACCCAACAUCUCACGACACGAGCCGACGACAGCCAUGCAGCACCUGUCAACGGGCUCCGAAGAGGGGUCCUGGUUUCUCAGGACUUUCCCGUCGAUGUCAAGCCCAGGUAAGGUUCUUCGCGUUGCGUCGAAUUAAACCACAUGCUCCACCGCUUGUGCGGGCCCCCGUCAAUUCCUUUGAGUUUCAGCCUUGCGGCCGUACUCCCCAGGCGGGGCACUUAAUGCGUUAGCUGCGGCACCCAGGGGGUCAAUACCCCGGACACCUAGUGCCCAUCGUUUACAGCGUGGACUAC
This 380-nucleotide unclassified non-coding RNA is filed under the name uncultured Gemmatimonadaceae bacterium. Its description in RNAcentral is "contains 16S-23S intergenic spacer region". Lineage: Bacteria; Pseudomonadati; Gemmatimonadota; Gemmatimonadia; Gemmatimonadales; Gemmatimonadaceae. The record is from RNAcentral.